UUCAAGAAAAAGAAUGACUUGCUGCAAUGC
This 30-nucleotide non-coding RNA is filed under the name Rattus norvegicus (Norway rat). Lineage: Eukaryota; Metazoa; Chordata; Mammalia; Rodentia; Muridae. The record is from RNAcentral.